Molecule: long non-coding RNA, 226 nt
Filed under: Lathyrus oleraceus (garden pea)
Lineage: Eukaryota; Viridiplantae; Streptophyta; Magnoliopsida; Fabales; Fabaceae
Description: Pisum sativum (pea) long non-coding RNA (PSAT_LNC015469)
Source: RNAcentral
UAUCUCUCUCUUCUCUCAACUGGGUCCAGGAUCUUUUCAAUUCCUCAGCAUCAGUAGGCAUAUCUGGGUAAGAAAUGAUCUGGGAAGUACCUCCUUCGACCUCCGAUUCAACAAUCAAUGGUCCGACUGCAAGAUAUGGCAUGACAAGUUCACGAGCUCUGGCGCGGACCCAUCUGAGAUAAGGCUCCAUAGGAAUAGAAUUUUUCUUGCCUAAAUUGCUUCUUUU